This 497-nucleotide ribosomal RNA is filed under the name uncultured bacterium. RNAcentral describes it as "partial 16S ribosomal RNA". It matches the Rfam family "Bacterial small subunit ribosomal RNA", at positions 28 to 507 of the family's 1533-position model. The record is from RNAcentral.
GAUGAACGCUGGCGGCGUGCCUAAUACAUGCAAGUCGAGCGAACGGACGCGACGCUUGCUUCUCUGAUGUUAGCGGCGGACGGGUGAGUAACACGUGGAUAACCUCCCUAUAAGACUGGGAUAACUUCGGGACACCGUAGCUAAUACCGUAUAAUCUUUUGAACCGCAUGGUUCAAUGGUGAAAGACGGUCUUGCUGUCACUUAUAGAUGGUUCCGCGCUGCAUUAGCUAGUUGGUAAGGUAACGGCUUACCAAGGCAACGAUGCAUAGCCGACCUGAGAGGGUGAUCGGCCACACGGGAACUGAGACACGGUCCAGACUCCUACGGGAGGCAGCAGUAGGGAAUCUUCCGCAAUGGGCGAAAGCCUGACGGAGCAACGCCGCGUGAGUGAUGAAGGUCUUCGGAUCGUAAAACUCUGUUAUUAGGGAAGAACAUAUGUGUAAGUAACUGUGCACAUCUUGACGGUACCUAAUCAGAAAGCCACGGCUAACUACGUG